UGCUUCGGCUCGAGGCCCAUAAGAAUACAGUCAACUUGACUUGGCUAUCUCCCGUUGUGUCGACGUGUAAUCGCCGCCAUGGCGAAGAAGACGAUUGGGAACAGUUUUGCCGCCAUGGAAGCAGCUUCUUGCGAUAGGGGCCAUUUCUCACCUCUACCUCUCCUCUUACAUCCAGCUCGGAUUUGAAGCGAAGAGUGACACGAUUCGAUUCAAUGCUGAUAUUCGCAGUCGAACCACGAAGGUCAUUUAGGUCCUUCCAGUGAUCCAGUCAUUGGAUACUACCGGCUGCUUAAGGAUCCAGAUAAGUGUCCACCACUUUGAUUGAGACCUUGCUUGAUCUUGACCAGAAAAUGGCAACAGGCAAAUGGAAGUGUCCAUCCUAUUACCCUCACUUGUGACAAAAGAAUCUUCUUAUGAAAACAAUUCAUGUCAGCGUUUGUUAAACUUCAAUGCAGUUAGCACUUCGGCAGAUCUGCAGGAGGCUGAGAACCAGACCCCUGCUCGUUAGACGGAAAGGAAAGUAUCAGCAAUAUGGCAUACGAUGAUGAUGGCACUGAUUAUGGAAUGAAUGAGUACCUGGAUUAUCUGCAACGAACCUGAUUGCAGCCCAUCCUCCUACUGGAACUCCAAUGGUGUUCAUCUUGUGUGUCGUUGGGAAUGUUAUUGGGUGCCCCAUUGACAAAGUCAGAGAAUUUUUCUGGCACUCCUGGAAAAUCUGUGGUGAAGUAUCC
This is a long non-coding RNA of Tarenaya hassleriana, 731 nucleotides long. RefSeq lists it as uncharacterized. Lineage: Eukaryota; Viridiplantae; Streptophyta; Magnoliopsida; Brassicales; Cleomaceae. The transcript has 5 exons. The record is from RefSeq and is a predicted model, not a curated record.